UUCUAAACAAUAAUGUGAUAAUUUCCAAGCACAUAUCUGAUGAUUCCAUGUGGAAUUUAGGUACUGAGUCUUCUGGGA
RNAcentral lists this small nucleolar RNA (78 nucleotides) under Castor canadensis (American beaver). RNAcentral's name for it is "Small nucleolar RNA SNORD121A (ENSCCNG00000027032.1)". It matches the Rfam family "Small nucleolar RNA SNORD121A". Lineage: Eukaryota; Metazoa; Chordata; Mammalia; Rodentia; Castoridae. The record is from Rfam by way of RNAcentral.